CUCAUACUCCAUCCCUCCGGAAAUACUUGUCGUGGGAAUGGAUGUAUCUAGAUGUAUUUUGGUUCUAUAUACAUUCAUUUGUAUCCAUUUUUGUGACAAGUAAUUCCGGACGGAGGGAGUACAUU
This is a non-coding RNA of Hordeum vulgare subsp. vulgare (domesticated barley), 125 nucleotides long. The record is from Rfam. NCBI's taxonomy places the organism in Eukaryota, Viridiplantae, Streptophyta, Magnoliopsida, Poales, Poaceae.